CAAGUAAUCUCAAUGACGUUUGUGAUUUCAAUUGUCAAUUAAAAAUACAAUUUAAAAAAUUUAUUUGAAACAAAUUAUUUUUGUACUUAAUUAAAUAAAGUAUUAAUUAUGUCGAUACUCACUAAAACAGACGUAACGGCUGUAAAAUUAUACAAAUCUUAUAUUAUUACAGGUAUAGGAAGUAACUUAGAAGUGUACAAAAAGGAUUCUGGGAAAUUUAUACGUAAACUAACAGCGUUACGAGGACAAAAAAUAUAUGGUAUUGUUCCAUCACAUUGUCAUACCAAGCUGUUUAUUUUCGGCAGUAAACAGUAUAACACAUUAAGAAUACAAGAUCUGACGGCUGAUGGAGAAGAAGACUUAGUUAUCGACUGUGAUGCGGACGCAAUAGUUUGUGAUGAUUGGAUACUGUCAGCAGUUUGGCUAUCAGUAAAUAAAGUUGCUAUCCUAACGGCUCAUAAUGUAGUUCAAAUUUGGAGCACUGAAAGUAUGUUGUUAGAGAAAUACUACACCUGUCCAGAUAAUUCCAUUCUCUACAGUGGGUUACUUGUACCAGUGCAAGAGGACCUCUUGGUGCUUAGUGGCACUGUGUUUUCAGAGGUCAUUGUACAGUGGUGUGGUGAUGAUAAACCUCUUCAUAAUUUAAAAGGUCAUAAGGGUGUUAUAUUCUCCAUUACUUGUGAUCUGAACAAACAGAUAAUAGUAACUACAUCAGAUGAUAGAUCACUCAGGAUUUGGAGUAUAAAAUCCACAGAAGAUUAUGAUUAUACCUGCAAAAAAUACUGGAGUAAAGCUGAAAUUGUAUGCUUGCAUGAAUUAUAUGGGCACAGUGCUAGAGUCAUGAGAAAUUGUAUCACUGCAGACUAUGUUAUUUCUAUAGGAGAAGAUGCUGGUAUUUGUUUUUGGGAUCUUCAUGGAAAGCUACUGAGGAAAGUGUUGUCACAUCAAAACGCCUGUAUUUGGGCCCUGGAUGCAAGUGAUGACUAUUUAGUAACAGGGGGAGGUGAUAGUGGUGUCAUUUUACAUCCCUUGUCACUGUUAACUAAAUAUAGCACUAGUGACAUUCUAGAUGUUAAUGUAGGUACAAUCAAAAAAGUAGAAUUUACUGCCAGAGGAAACAUGGUUAUGGUAAAUGAAAGUGAUCUAAUUUAUCAUGACUUAAAACUUAAAACAAAUGCUGUACAUAAAUUGAAUCACAAAUCUACAUAUAGAAUGCUAAGUUUGUCCUCUUGUAAACAAAUAAUAGCUGUUGUUGAUAUGAUAGGAAUAUUAGCAAUUUUUGUAGAAAAUUGUAAGGAUAAUAUGGGAAUCAAAAAUAUAAUUAAUAAAGCACUAAAAUUAGGUAAUAUACUAUCUAUGCAAUGGGCAGGUAAUAGACAUUUGGUUGUUUGUUCUGACAGUGGAGAUAUUACAGUUUUAGCUUCAAAAGAAAAUGAUAUUGAAGUUUUCGCAAGCUAUGUUCUUCCACCUUGUAAAGAAAGAUGGCUAACUUCUAGUGCUUUAAGUGAUAAUAAGGAAAUACUAGUAGUUGGUGACCGCAAUGGUCGUAUACACAUUUAUAUGCGUGGAAAUAAAAAUCCCGCUAAAACAUUUGACAAAGUUCAUGGUAGAUAUGGCGCUACUACUAUAAAUAUGCGUAACAAUGAUAUAAUAACAACUGGUAGAGAUGGUAGUAUUAAAUAUUUUUCCAUAAACAAACUCACAAAUGAUGUUAAAUUCAUGAGUUCAAAAGAUCUUGAGUUCCAAUGGGUAGAAAAGUUUGUAGAUAAAAAUGGAAAUUAUAUUUGUGGUUUCCAAGAAAGAGUUUUUGUGGUGUAUGAUAUAAAAAACCAUAUUAAAGUAUUCGAGGUCAAUUGUGGCGGAGGACAUAGAUCGUGGGAUGUUACACGCUAUUUCGAAAAGACUAAUGAUAAUUAUGAGGAAUUCAUUAGAGUUGUGUACCUCAAAAACUCUACAAUACAUUUAGAGACUUUUCAACUUAGCCAAAUAGUACCACGAAAUAUUAUAAAUGGAACACAUUCCAAAGAAAUAAACUGUUUGAAGACGUAUGUAUCUUCUAAUAAUAGUAACGAAACCAUCUAUUAUAUAUCGGGUGGGGAAGACACAACUUUAAGAAUAUCUAAGUCAAAUCAAGAUUCAAAAUUUCAAGAUAAAGUUAUAUUCAAACAGUUAUCGAGUGUAAGAAGUUUGAUAACAUUGAGUUUAGAAUAUAAUAAAAUACUUUUAGUGUCAGCAGGCGGUAGGGCACAGAUUUGCAUAAAAAUAAUAUGUUUAAAUGACGAUAACAUUACUUCAGAAGAAUUAGUAGACUACCUGAUAAAAGGAACAGAUAGAGAAAGAAAAGGAAAUCGAAACUGGAAAAACUGUUCGAUCGACUUUGAUCCAGAAACAAGGAUAAUGGAUAUAAAUAUUUUACAAAUUGAUGCUAAUAACAGUAUAGUUGUUGCUGGAUGUUCUGAUGGUGUAUUACGUAUUUUUGUACUAGAGAAUAGUUCUAAAACUGUGUUUAAGACGGUAAAAGAGAUUAGACAUCACAAAACAUGUAUUUUAAAAACUCAUAUAUUCAAAUUUAUGAAUAAAGAUAUACUUGCGGUAGCCACAACGAGAGGAAAUAUUACCUUUUGGAAUAUAGAAAAAUGUAGUAUACAAUUUGAUUUGAUUUUUGAAAUGAAUACUAACAAAUCAGGGAUAAACAGUAUAGAUACAAAAGUAAUAGACAAUAACAACUUUUUAAUAGCUACAGGAGGUGAUGACAAUGCCAUACAUUUGAAUGUAUUGGAGACUAAAAAUGAUGAUUUAAAAUCAUUGAAAAUCACUCAUAAUUGGACCAGCGAUACAAACCACUGUUCUCAAAUAACUGGCUUAAAACUGGUCAGUGAUUUCAUGUUGACUGCAAGCAUUGAUCAGAGAAUCACUUUAUUUCAGUUGACCAUUGACAAUUAUAUUCACUGUGAAUUUAUUUCACAAAGCUUCAGUGACAUUUCUGAUAUACAAGGAAUAGAUAUACUUAAAUUUUCUGGCGAUUCAUUUAAAGUGUGCGUGUUUGGUAAAGGACUGGAAGUGUUACAUAUAUCGUGCAGUAAAUUGCUGAAGAGUUAACAGACAAAGCCUAAAGAUUACUUGGUGCAUUUCUAUAAAUGAAGAGUACGAGACAUCUUUUAAAUGUCAGUGACGGUGUCGGCGGUGACGUCGCCCGUGUGGCUGGGCGAGGGCCCGCACUGGUCGCACGAGCAGCAGGCGCUGUUCUUCGUCAGCAUCUUCGACAAGAGCAUACACAAGUACGACCCCGCCAGCGGCAAGCA
Molecule: RNA transcript, 3302 nt
Organism: Bicyclus anynana (squinting bush brown)
Lineage: Eukaryota; Metazoa; Arthropoda; Insecta; Lepidoptera; Nymphalidae
Gene name: regucalcin
Exons: 6
Source: RefSeq, a predicted model, not a curated record